CAGUAGCCGCGGUAAAACGAAGGGGGCUAGCGUUGUUCGGAAUUACUGGGCGUAAAGCGCACGUAGGCGGACAUUUAAGUCAGGGGUGAAAUCCCGGGGCUCAACCCCGGAACUGCCUUUGAUACUGGGUGUCUAGAGUAUGGAAGAGGUGAGUGGAAUUCCGAGUGUAGAGGUGAAAUUCGUAGAUAUUCGGAGGAACACCAGUGGCGAAGGCGGCUCACUGGUCCAUUACUGACGCUGAGGUGCGAAAGCGUGGGGAGCAAACAGGAUUAGAUACCCCCGUAGUCCCUGUCUCUUAUAC
RNAcentral lists this ribosomal RNA (301 nucleotides) under uncultured bacterium. Its description in RNAcentral is "partial 16S ribosomal RNA". It matches the Rfam family "Bacterial small subunit ribosomal RNA", at positions 509 to 807 of the family's 1533-position model. The record is from RNAcentral.